This is a long non-coding RNA of Aethina tumida (small hive beetle), 170 nucleotides long. RefSeq lists it as uncharacterized. The record is from RefSeq and is a predicted model, not a curated record. The transcript is spliced from 3 exons. Lineage: Eukaryota; Metazoa; Arthropoda; Insecta; Coleoptera; Nitidulidae.
GUUAUAUUUCCGUGGUGUUUUUAAAACAAUAUAUUUUCCUUAUUCUUCUGAUUAUUUCCAUUAUUAACACAGAUUACAGAUUAUUAACAUUAUAUUUGUACUCCUUUGAUUAUUUGGGUGCUAUAUUUUUAUAAUAUUACAUUUAUAUUAUUAUUAUAUUUAUAUUUUUU